This 304-nucleotide ribosomal RNA is filed under the name uncultured bacterium. Its description in RNAcentral is "partial 16S ribosomal RNA". It matches the Rfam family "Bacterial small subunit ribosomal RNA", at positions 506 to 807 of the family's 1533-position model. The record is from RNAcentral.
CAGCAGCAGCCGCGGGAAUACGUCGGUGGCAAGCGCUGUCCGGAAUUAUUGGGCGUAAAGGGCUCGCAGGCGGUUUCUUAAGUCUGAUGUGAAAGCCCCCGGCUCAACCGGGGAGGGUCAUUGGAAACUGGGAAACUUGAGUGCAGAAGAGGAGAGUGGAAUUCCACGUGUAGCGGUGAAAUGCGUAGAGAUGUGGAGGAACACCAGUGGCGAAGGCGACUCUCUGGUCUGUAACUGGCGCUGAGGAGCGAAAGCGUGGGGAGCGAACAGGAUUAGAUACCCCUGUAGUCCCUGUCUCUUAUAC